Molecule: ribosomal RNA, 457 nt
Filed under: uncultured bacterium
Lineage: Bacteria
Description: bacterial SSU rRNA
Rfam family: Bacterial small subunit ribosomal RNA
Source: RNAcentral
UACGGAAGGCAGCAGUGGGGAAUAUUGCACAAUGGGCGAAAGCCUGAUGCAGCUAUGCCGCGUGUAUGAAGAAGGCCUUAGGGUUGUAAAGUACUUUCAUCGGGGAGGAAAAAACAAAACUAAUAAUUUUAUUUCUUGACGUUACCCGAAAAAGAAGCACCGGCUAACUCCGUGCCAGCAGCCGCGGUAAUACGGAGGGUGCUAGCGUUAAUCAGAAUUACUGGGCGUAAAGAGCACGUAGGUGGUUUUUUUAAGUCAGAUGUGAAAUCCCUGGGCUUAACCUAGGAACUGCAUUUUGAAACUGAAAUACUAGAGUAUCGUAGAGGGAGGUAGAAUUCUAGGUGUAGCGGCGAAAUGCGUAGAUAUCUGGAGGAAUACCUGUGGCGAAAGCGGCCUCCUAAACGAAUACUGACACUGAGGGUGCGAAAGCGUGGGGAGCAAACAGGGAUUAGAUACC